Molecule: long non-coding RNA, 876 nt
Organism: Canis lupus familiaris (dog)
Lineage: Eukaryota; Metazoa; Chordata; Mammalia; Carnivora; Canidae
Exons: 3
Source: RefSeq, a predicted model, not a curated record
AAGACUUAUUCACACUGUAGAAAAUUUCUAAAAAAUAGUCAAAAAUGGACGAAUUACGUUUAACGUUAAAGAAUGCCAAUAUUUUAAAGGCUGAUCUGAUAUGAUCAUUUCUGAUAUGGUGUGGAGAGUUUCCCUUUGUAACCUGAAGAAAUAAAGGGAAUGUGACACAAAUGAAAUGACGAAAAUGCGUGGGACGCAACAUCACCAUUUAAGGCAACAAUGUCAGCAAAGACAAUUUAGACUCCAAACUUGGAUUUCGAGACAAAACUGGGUAAUCCACAGCCCUUGGAUUCCAGUCAUCUACAGUCUAUGGAGAAAGACAGAUGCAUACACAACUACAAUGGUGCAAGCUUGCAGCCCACUGAUAGAUCCCCAACACACCCAGAGCAUGACCGUCCUCAGGCAACUCGUGGCCACCUUCGUACUUUCAUGUUGAAAAGUCACCUCAUCUUGGCAGCAGCUGGCCCCUCCAUGUCCUGAAAGACUUCCUUCUGGAUUCCUUGGAGACCUGCCCUGUCCCUCAACCCCACUAAUUAAAAAAUAUACCAUCACUCACUCUUCACAAUCCCAGUAUGGCUCUUUCUGCCCACAGGUCCUGCACCAUGAAGAGGGAAAGGGUGAAGGGAGAGGUGGGAGCGAUAGGAGGCCCCUGGGUCCCCUGACGGGGCUCCAGAUCUAUUCCUGGCAGGUGGAGCAGAACCAGAGAGAAGGGAUGACGCAAGAAUCUCAAGGCCACAAGCUUCCCAGCCAGUUCUCAGUAAAAGACUGCCACUAAAAGCCCUCAGUGGAAGCCCCUUGGGACUCCUCUCAGGCCAGAGAGCUUUUCUCUUUCCUCUCUGCUCUGACCUUCACUUAAUAAACUUUCACUUCACUUCA